AAGAUCCAAACGCAACAAACAAAAACAAACAAAACCUGCUGUACCUGAACAUUCAAUUUAUAGAAGCACAGCUCAUGGUAGAAAAUCCUCACUUAAAGAAUCCCAGUGGGACUUCCAGACCUGUUUGGAGAAGGAGCAAAAAAGGAAAAAGAAGAGAGCAAAGGGAUCACCAUGUGGGUCUACAGCACACGGGACCCAAGGAGGAAGCCUCUGAGGAGCUGUGUCACCGCCUUGGAGAACUCACUCCUGGGUGCUGAAUGGCAGCGCCCAGGACAACUGUGACUUCGUCCAGCUGGCGUCUGCAGCCCCGUCAAGCUCUUCCAGCCAUGACCUUGACAGAUCCUCCUAACAGCCUCAGGUGGUGAGCAGGGAAGAGUUAGCGUCCACGUUUGAGCAAAAGAGAAACCAGACUCAGAGGAAGGUUGCACAACAGAACUGGGACCAGGUUUUCUGCCUGUGCUCCUUCCUCUGUACACGAUACAUCUUCUUUUCUGACCACCUAAUCAUGGAGGCCCCCUUGCCCUACAUCCUGGUUUGCAAGCAGGUUUUAUUUUGAGUUAAUAGGAAAGAGUAUAUGACUGAUUAUUAAUGUCUGCCAUGAGUAAAGGCAAGCACAAUACCAGAGUUGAAAUAUAUUUACUUCCUCAGAUCCUAAUAAACCUUUCUUCUCAAACAAAACAGUUUUGAAAUUACCUCCUUCUUCCUGUCUCCAGCUCAGUAAAAUUUUCUGACCUAAUGGCCAGGGCUUAGAAAAUUUUACCAUAAUGCUACCUGGGAAGGAAGGGUUUGAUAAACAAUUUAACGCUGACUUCAAGAUUGCAAGGGGGGUGUUUAAUUUGUUCAAGAG
Choloepus didactylus (southern two-toed sloth) is the source of this 847-nucleotide long non-coding RNA. RefSeq lists it as uncharacterized. The transcript has 3 exons. The record is from RefSeq and is a predicted model, not a curated record. NCBI's taxonomy places the organism in Eukaryota, Metazoa, Chordata, Mammalia, Pilosa, Megalonychidae.